Molecule: ribosomal RNA, 253 nt
Filed under: uncultured bacterium
Lineage: Bacteria
Description: partial 16S ribosomal RNA
Rfam family: Bacterial small subunit ribosomal RNA
Source: RNAcentral
UACGGGGGGGGUAAGCGUUGUUCGGAAUUACUGGGCGUAAAGGGCUCGUAGGCGGCCAACUAAGUCAAACGUGAAAUCCCUCAGCUUAACUGGGGAACUGCGUCUGAUACUGUGCGGCUAGAGUGCGGAAGGGGCAACUGGAAUUCUUGGUGUAGCGGUGAAAUGCGUAGAUAUCAAGAGGAACACCUGCGGCGAAGGCGGGUUGCUGGGCCGACACUGACGCUGAGGCGCGAAAGCCAGGGGAGCGAACGGG